UACGUAGGGGCCGAGCGUUGUCCGGAGUUACUGGGCGUAAAGCGCGCAGCGAGCGGCUCGUCAAGCCUGACGUGAAAGCCCCCGGCUCAACCGGGGAGGGUCGUCGGGGACUGGCGGGCUUGAGGUCGGCAGGGGUUGGUGGAAUUCCCGGUGUAGUGGUGAAAUGCGUAGAGAUCGGGAAGAACACCGGUGGCGAAGGCGGCUCUCUGGGCCUGUCCUGACGCUCAGGCGCGAAAGCUAGGGGAGCGAACAGG
This 254-nucleotide ribosomal RNA is filed under the name uncultured bacterium. RNAcentral's name for it is "partial 16S ribosomal RNA". It matches the Rfam family "Bacterial small subunit ribosomal RNA", at positions 524 to 776 of the family's 1533-position model. The record is from RNAcentral.